GUCAAUGUGGUGUAGUGGUUUGAGUGUUGGACUAUGACUCUGGAGACCAGGGUUCGCUUCCCAGCUCAGCCA
This is a non-coding RNA of Phrynosoma platyrhinos (Desert horned lizard), 72 nucleotides long. NCBI's taxonomy places the organism in Eukaryota, Metazoa, Chordata, Lepidosauria, Squamata, Phrynosomatidae. The record is from the annotation of a GenBank genome assembly.